RNAcentral lists this unclassified non-coding RNA (267 nucleotides) under Hevea brasiliensis (rubber tree). Lineage: Eukaryota; Viridiplantae; Streptophyta; Magnoliopsida; Malpighiales; Euphorbiaceae. The record is from RNAcentral.
CACAAUUUUGGAGUCCCCAUCCAAAUCCGCUUCCAAGAAGAGGAAAAAAGUAAUGGUUGAGUACAAGACUUUGGUUAUGGAAUAUGGCUCCCCCCCUCUUAAGCUUGUGGAUCCCGGGUACAUAAGGCCUCUGCCUCCAGAUGAUUCACAUUCUGGUGACCGGGUUUUUCAGGAGAACGACGUCGUUGAUGCCAGGUACAGAGACGGGUGGUGGACUGGCGUUGUAAGGAAGGUUUUAGAGCGUUCUAGGUAUAGGGUUUAUUUUGA